UGCUCCUUGGCCAAGCUGGUUACGGCGCACGACUGUUAGCUGUCGCCGCAAUCGUGAGAUCAUGAGUUCGACCCUCAUAGGAGCAG
Mycena filopes is the source of this 86-nucleotide non-coding RNA. Lineage: Eukaryota; Fungi; Basidiomycota; Agaricomycetes; Agaricales; Mycenaceae. The record is from the annotation of a GenBank genome assembly.